GGAUUGAUGAUGAUUCCCAAUCAAACAUUCCUCAGAGAAGCUGAACAAAAUGAGUGAAUGCUCAGGACUGAGGUCC
Mastomys coucha (southern multimammate mouse) is the source of this 76-nucleotide small nucleolar RNA. RefSeq annotates it as small nucleolar RNA SNORD116. NCBI's taxonomy places the organism in Eukaryota, Metazoa, Chordata, Mammalia, Rodentia, Muridae. The record is from RefSeq and is a predicted model, not a curated record. The transcript has a single exon.